GAGGGGCUUUGGUGCCAAAAUUGCUCUGCAAUUCGGGCUGUCCAGGAAGAUGUUUUGAGGCAAAGAUGAUCUAAACGUCUUCAACUUCCUCACACUUCCAUGACCAAAAUUAGUGCUCAGAAGAGACACCACUCUCUUAAACUUAGACACAGCCUCUCCAGUUUCCAUCAUCAAGUUCCUAGACAGAACUUGAUCUCUGGGUUGACACAGGAGGCCAAUAACUCUAUGGCAGCUCUCAACCGCUGCCUUGUUUACCUCCU
This 260-nucleotide unclassified non-coding RNA is filed under the name Hevea brasiliensis (rubber tree). Lineage: Eukaryota; Viridiplantae; Streptophyta; Magnoliopsida; Malpighiales; Euphorbiaceae. The record is from RNAcentral.